RNAcentral lists this ribosomal RNA (385 nucleotides) under Bacillus subtilis. Its description in RNAcentral is "bacterial SSU rRNA". It matches the Rfam family "Bacterial small subunit ribosomal RNA", at positions 997 to 1383 of the family's 1533-position model. The record is from RNAcentral. Lineage: Bacteria; Bacillati; Bacillota; Bacilli; Caryophanales; Bacillaceae.
AUCCUAGAGAUAGGACGUCCCCUUCGGGGGCAGAGUGACAGGUGGUGCAUGGUUGUCGUCAGCUCGUGUCGUGAGAUGUUGGGUUAAGUCCCGCAACGAGCGCAACCCUUGAUCUUAGUUGCCAGCAUUCAGUUGGGCACUCUAAGGUGACUGCCGGUGACAAACCGGAGGAAGGUGGGGAUGACGUCAAAUCAUCAUGCCCCUUAUGACCUGGGCUACACACGUGCUACAAUGGACAGAACAAAGGGUAGCGAAACCGCGAGGUUAAGCCAAUCCCACAAAUCUGUUCUCAGUUCGGAUCGCAGUCUGCAACUCGACUGCGUGAAGCUGGAAUCGCUAGUAAUCGCGGAUCAGCAUGCCGCGGUGAAUACGUUCCCGGGUCUUG